This 253-nucleotide ribosomal RNA is filed under the name uncultured bacterium. Its description in RNAcentral is "partial 16S ribosomal RNA". It matches the Rfam family "Bacterial small subunit ribosomal RNA", at positions 524 to 776 of the family's 1533-position model. The record is from RNAcentral.
UACAGAGGUCUCGAGCGUUAGGCGGAAUCACUGGGCUUAAAGCGUGUGUAGGCGGGUCGGUAAGUGCCUUGUGAAAUCCCAUGGCUCAACCAUGGAACUGCUGGGCAUACUGGCGAUCUUGUGCAACCUAGGGGCGAGCGGAACAGAUGGUGGAGCGGUGAAAUGCGUAGAUAUCAUCUGGAACGCCAAUGGUGAAAACAGCUCGCUGGGGGUUUGCAGACGCUGAGACACGAAAGCCAGGGGAGCGAACGGG